GCAAGGCUGAAUACUGUGUUCUUUUUUUUAGUAGUUUACACAGCCAGACACCAUGCAAAGGUAAAGUCUUCUCUUUAAAAUGCCUACAACGGAUGGUAUGUAAGUUUGUUCAUAGCGUAUCAUUCAUUAAAAAUAAGAAAGAAA
Ailuropoda melanoleuca (giant panda) is the source of this 144-nucleotide small nucleolar RNA. Lineage: Eukaryota; Metazoa; Chordata; Mammalia; Carnivora; Ursidae. The record is from Ensembl.